GCUUUGAGUUUGAGUUUAUUUCAGGGUCUUUACUGACAGAGGUUGCUCUCUAGAGAAAGAAAGGAGAUGAAACAAAGAGAGAGGGAGAAGAGAACGGGGAAUAAGGAAAAGGAGGAGAAGAGAGAGGCAGAAAGUUGUUACUGAAAACAAAACAAGGGGAAGAUGAAAGGAAAGAGACCAAAGAGCAGAGACAGAGGGGGAGAGAGAAAUAAAGAAAUGCGGUUUUGAACUAGACUCUGGU
Rosa chinensis is the source of this 241-nucleotide long non-coding RNA. RefSeq lists it as uncharacterized. NCBI's taxonomy places the organism in Eukaryota, Viridiplantae, Streptophyta, Magnoliopsida, Rosales, Rosaceae. The transcript has 3 exons. The record is from RefSeq and is a predicted model, not a curated record.